UUUCAAGUGGGAGCAAUUAUUACUAAACUCCCAAGGACUUGGAAAUGAUAUAAGAAUAUUCUUCACAAUUUCAAAGACUUCUCUUUGUAACACAAUUAAAAAUAUUUUUGCAUAAACGAAGAAUCAAGGGCAAAAGAUAGGAUCGAAAGUUCUUAUGAUGGUUCUUCAAAAGCCAAUGCCGUAAACAAUGUGGACAGCUCUAAUAUAUACAAGAAGAAGGGAAACCUCUUGGUCCUAAAAAGGAUCAAGGGAAGUUCAAAACUAAGUUCAAAGAAUCUUGCUAUGUUAUUAAAUAUCAGAACAAAAUGGUAUGACGGAAAGAAAGAAUAUGACAUUCUUAAAAAUGAUAUAUACAAUAUUAUUAACUUCUGAGUUACUAUUUAACUCAUGGGGUGAAAUUUUACUUAGUGCUUGUCAUAUAGUAAAUAUGGUUCCUUUGAAUAGAGAAAAGGCAUCUGCAAGAAAUAUUGAAAGUGAAUCUUGGAAAACUAAAUGAACUAGAAAAGAAAAAGGUCUAGGAUGGGAUGAAAGAGAUUCCUAACUUAUUUCUUUCUAUUUAGUAGAGGAAGAUAGGAAAGAUAUUGUAAGAGAGGAAAUGUAGGAAAACAUUU
RNAcentral lists this long non-coding RNA (611 nucleotides) under Olea europaea subsp. europaea. Lineage: Eukaryota; Viridiplantae; Streptophyta; Magnoliopsida; Lamiales; Oleaceae. The record is from RNAcentral.